Molecule: unclassified non-coding RNA, 334 nt
Filed under: soil metagenome
Description: partial contains 5.8S ribosomal RNA, internal transcribed spacer 2, and large subunit ribosomal RNA
Rfam family: 5.8S ribosomal RNA (bases 1-120)
Source: RNAcentral
GAUGAAGAACGCAGCGAAAUGCGAUAAGUAGUGUGAAUUGCAGAAUUCAGUGAAUCAUCGAAUCUUUGAACGCACAUUGCGCCCUUUGGUAUUCCUUAGGGCAUGCCUGUUCGAGCGUCAUUUAAACCUUCAAGCUCAGCUUGGUGUUGGGUGACUGUCCGCUUCACCGCGGACUCGCCUCAAAAUUAUUGGCGGCCGGUACAUUGGCUCUCGAGCGCAGCAGAAACGCGUAACUCGAGGUCCUCGUGCUGGCUCCCAGAAGCUAUCUUCACAAUUUUGACCUCGAAUCAGGUAGGGAUACCCGCUGAACUUAAGCAUAUCAAUAAGCGGAGGA